This 65-nucleotide transfer RNA is filed under the name Dolichosciara megumiae. RNAcentral's name for it is "tRNA-Tyr". Lineage: Eukaryota; Metazoa; Arthropoda; Insecta; Diptera; Sciaridae. The record is from RNAcentral.
AAUUAGGUGGCCGAUUUAAAGCAAUAAAUUGUAAAUUUAUUUAUAAGAUAUUUUCUUCCUAAUUA